AUUAUUGGGCGUAAAGCGCGCGUAGGCGGUCUGAUAAGCCGGUUGUGAAAGCCCCGGGCUCAACCUGGGAACGGCAUCCGGAACUGUCAGGCUAGAGUGCAGGAGAGGAAGGUAGAAUUCCCGGUGUAGCGGUGAAAUGCGUAGAGAUCGGGAGGAAUACCAGUGGCGAAGGCGGCCUUCUGGACUGACACUGACGCUGAGGUGCGAAAGCGUGGGUAGCAAACAGGAUUAGAUACCCUGGUAGUCCACGCUGUAAACGAUGUGCACUAGGUGUUGGGGUGUUGAAACCUCAGUACCGGAGCUAACGCGGUAAGUGCACCGCCUGGGGAGUAUGCCGGCAACGGUGAAACUCAAAGGAAUUGACGGGGGCCCGCACAAGCGGUGGAGCAUGUGGUUUAAUUCGAUGCAACGCGAAGAACCUUACCUACCCUUGACAUCGAGAGAACUUGGCAGAGAUGCCUUGGUGCCUUCGGGAACUCUCAGACAGGUGC
Molecule: ribosomal RNA, 491 nt
Filed under: Alkalispirochaeta alkalica
Lineage: Bacteria; Pseudomonadati; Spirochaetota; Spirochaetia; Spirochaetales; Spirochaetaceae
Description: partial 16S ribosomal RNA
Rfam family: Bacterial small subunit ribosomal RNA
Source: RNAcentral